AACGCGAAACCUUCCUUCGGGAGGGGAGUAGAGUGGCGCACGGGUGAGUAACACGUAGGUAAUCUACCUUUGGGUGGGGAAUAACAGCCGGAAACGGCUGCUAAUACCGCAUAAUGCAGCGGCUCGACAUCGAGACAGUUGUUAAAGCGGGGGAUUCGCAAGAACCUCGCGCCUAAAGAGGAGCCUGCGGCAGAUUAGCUAGUUGGUAGGGUAAUGGCCUACCAAGGCUACGAUCUGUAACCGGCCUGAGAGGGCGGUCGGUCACACUGACACUGACAUACGGGUCAGACUCCUACGGGAGGCGGCAGUCGGGAAUUUUGGGCAAUGGGCGAAAGCCUGACCCAGCAACGCCGCGUGAAGGAUGAAAUUUUUCGGAAUGUAAACUUCGCAAGAACGGGAAGAAUAAGUAGAAGAUAAUACCUUCUAUGAUGACGGUACCGUUUGUAAGCUCCGGCUAACUCCGUGCCAGCAGCCGCGGUAAUACGGGGGGAGCAAGCGUUGUUCGGAUUUACUGGGCGUAAAGGGCGCGUAGGCGGUCGUGACAAGUCACUUGUGAAAUCUCCGGGCUUAACUCGGAACGGUCAAGUGAUACUGUCGGACUAGAGUACAGAAGGGGCAACUGGAAUUCUCGGUGUAGCGGUGAAAUGCGUAGAUAUCGAGAGGAACACCUGCGGCGAAGGCGGGUUGCUGGGCUGAUACUGACGCUGAGGCGCGAAAGCCAGGGGAGCGAACGGGAUUAGAUACCCCGGUAGUCCUGGC
Molecule: ribosomal RNA, 759 nt
Filed under: uncultured bacterium
Lineage: Bacteria
Description: bacterial SSU rRNA
Rfam family: Bacterial small subunit ribosomal RNA
Source: RNAcentral